Molecule: unclassified non-coding RNA, 301 nt
Filed under: plant metagenome
Description: partial contains small subunit ribosomal RNA, internal transcribed spacer 1, and 5.8S ribosomal RNA
Source: RNAcentral
UCUCCGUAGGUGAACCUGCGGAAGGAUCAUUAUUGAAACUUGAAUCGUAGCAUCGAGAACUGUUGCUGACCUGUUAAAAGGUAUGUGCACGUUUGACGUGUUGCGUUCUAUUCAUUCACCUGUACACCUUUGUAGACUUGAUUAACUUUCGCUCUCGAGCGGUUAGAAGGGUUGCUUUCGAGCUCCCUUUGUCUAUCAAGUCUAUGUCUAUCUAAACUCUUGUAUGUCUAGAAUGUCUUGUUUAUGGGACGGAAGUCCUUUAGAUCUUAUACAACUUUCAACAACGGAUCUCUUGGCUCUC